RNAcentral lists this long non-coding RNA (235 nucleotides) under Homo sapiens (human). RNAcentral describes it as "non-protein coding LINC01762:49". The record is from RNAcentral. Lineage: Eukaryota; Metazoa; Chordata; Mammalia; Primates; Hominidae.
CCUGGGCAUGAGAUAAAACACGAGGUCAUCUGCAAUGGCACUGGUGCUGUGGCUGUAUCAGCAUGGCUCUGAUGUCCCUUCGGGGCAGGCAACAGUUCAGGGAGGACUUACAAGCAAGCUCUGGAACUUGAAGUCUCAAGAGAUGACAAAUAGUCAAUUCUCAAAAAAUGAAGAAAAGAAAAACUUGUUUCUUCAUGUUUGCUAACCCUAUCUAUAUCUAUGGUUUUGGCCAAUA